Molecule: unclassified non-coding RNA, 25 nt
Filed under: Mus musculus (house mouse)
Lineage: Eukaryota; Metazoa; Chordata; Mammalia; Rodentia; Muridae
Description: oocyte_clustered_small_RNA7421
Source: RNAcentral
UCCACACUUUCUCCUAUAUAAGUUU